Molecule: ribosomal RNA, 490 nt
Filed under: Streptococcus mitis
Lineage: Bacteria; Bacillati; Bacillota; Bacilli; Lactobacillales; Streptococcaceae
Description: bacterial SSU rRNA
Rfam family: Bacterial small subunit ribosomal RNA
Source: RNAcentral
GACGAACGCUGGCGGCGUGCCUAAUACAUGCAAGUAGAACGCUGAAGGAGGAGCUUGCUUCUCUGGAUGAGUUGCGAACGGGUGAGUAACGCGUAGGUAACCUGCCUGGUAGCGGGGGAUAACUAUUGGAAACGAUAGCUAAUACCGCAUAAGAGUAGAUGUUGCAUGACAUUUGCUUAAAAGGUGCAAUUGCAUCACUACCAGAUGGACCUGCGUUGUAUUAGCUAGUUGGUGGGGUAACGGCUCACCAAGGCGACGAUACAUAGCCGACCUGAGAGGGUGAUCGGCCACACUGGGACUGAGACACGGCCCAGACUCCUACGGGAGGCAGCAGUAGGGAAUCUUCGGCAAUGGACGGAAGUCUGACCGAGCAACGCCGCGUGAGUGAAGAAGGUUUUCAGGAUCGUAAAGCUCUGUUGUAAGAGAAGAACGAGUGUGAGCAGUGGAAAGUGUCACACUAUGACUGGAUCUUACCAAGAACGGAGCUGAG